This 805-nucleotide ribosomal RNA is filed under the name uncultured bacterium. RNAcentral describes it as "bacterial SSU rRNA". It matches the Rfam family "Bacterial small subunit ribosomal RNA", at positions 9 to 821 of the family's 1533-position model. The record is from RNAcentral.
GAGUUUGAUCCUGGCUCAGAAUGAACGUUGGCGGCGUGGAUUAGGCAUGCAAGUCGAACGGGGCCGCAAGGUACCCGUGGCGCAAGGGUGAGUAAGGCGACGGUAACCAACCCCGGGGUUGGCCAUAGCCGCGGGAAACCGCGGGUAAUAGCCAGCGACGUGGCGUCCUGGCAUCAAGACGCUACCAAAGGUGGGAUUCCGCCCCGGGACGGGCCGUUGUGGUAUCAGGUUGUUGGUGGGGUAACGGCUCACCAAGCCGGCGACGCCUACCGGGCGUGCGAGCGUGGCCCGGCACACUGGGACUGAGACACUGCCCAGACUCCUACGGGAGGCCGCAGUCGAGAAUCUUCGGCAAUGGGCGCAAGCCUGACCGAGCGACGCCGCGUGGAGGAUGAAGGCCUUCGGGUUGUAAACUCCUGUCGCGGGGGAGGAAGGGCCGGUGUAGAACCGGCCUUGACCGAUCCCGGGAGGAAGCACGGGCUAAGUUCGUGCCAGCAGCCGCGGUAAGACGAACCGUGCGAACGUUACUCGGAAUCACUGGGCUUAAAGCGCGUGUAGGCGGAGGGCCGCGUCGGUUGCUGAAGCCCCCGGCUCAACCGGGGAAGGGGCACCGAAACGGGCUCUCUGGAGGGGAGUAGGGGGACCUGGAACUUCCGGUGGAGCGGUGAAAUGCGUUGAGAUCGGAAGGAACGCCCGUGGCGAAAGCGAGGUCCUGGGCUCUCACUGACGCUGAGACGCGAAAGCCAGGGGAGCGAACGGGAUUAGAUACCCCGGUAGUCCUGGCCGUAAACGAUGGGCACUGGGU